CAAUAGCGUAUAUUAAAGUUGUUGCAGUUAAAAAGCUCGUAGUUGGAUUUCCGGCGUGAGGGAUCAGUCUGACUUCUAGUCAGUACUUGGUCCUCUCAUGCCGUCCUUGAAUGGUGCAUCCUGGCAUUAAGUUGUCGGGGUGAGAGCCGUUCAUCGUUUACUGUGAGAAAAUUAGAGUGUUCAAAGCAGGCUUAUGCCGUUGAAUAUAUUAGCAUGGAAUAAUAAGAUAGGACUUUGGUACUAUUUUGUUGGUUUGAGAACCAAGGUAAUGAUUAACAGGGACAGUUGGGGCCGUUUAUAUUUCGUUGUCAGAGGUGAAAUUCUUGGAUUUACGAAAGAUAAACUUCUGCGAAAGCAUUCGGCAAGGAUGUUUUCAUUGAUCAAGAACGAAAGUUAGGGGAUCGAAGACGAUUAGAUACCAU
RNAcentral lists this ribosomal RNA (422 nucleotides) under uncultured eukaryote. RNAcentral describes it as "SSU rRNA". It matches the Rfam family "Eukaryotic small subunit ribosomal RNA", at positions 592 to 1018 of the family's 1831-position model. The record is from RNAcentral.